Molecule: ribosomal RNA, 378 nt
Filed under: uncultured bacterium
Lineage: Bacteria
Description: bacterial SSU rRNA
Rfam family: Bacterial small subunit ribosomal RNA
Source: RNAcentral
UAAUACAGAGGGUGCAAGCGUUAAUCGGAGUUACUGGGCGUAAAGCGCGCGUAGGUGGUUUAAUAAGUUUCGUGUGAAAGCCUCGGGCUCAACCUGGGAACUGCACGGAAAACUGUUAAGCUAGAGUAUGGUAGAGGUCAGUGGAAUUUCCGGUGUAGCGGUGAAAUGCGUAGAUAUCGGAAGGAACACCAGUGGCGAAGGCGACUGACUGGGCCAAUACUGACACUGAGGCGCGAAAGCGUGGGUAGCGAACAGGAUUAGAUACCCUGGUAGUCCACGCUGUAAACGAUGAGGACUAGAUGUUGGGUGGCAUAGAACCACCUUGUAUCGCAGCUAACGCGUUAAGUUCUCCGCCUGGGGAAUACGGUCGCAAGAUUA